GACGAACGCUGGCGGCGUGCUUAACACAUGCAAGUCGAGCGGUAAGGCCCUUUCGGGGGUACACGAGCGGCGAACGGGUGAGUAACACGUGGGUGACCUGCCCUCAGCUCUGGGAUAAGCCUGGGAAACCGGGUCUAAUACUGGAUAUGACUCCAUGACGCAUGUUGUGGGGUGGAAAGCCUUGUGCGGCUGAGGAUGGGCCCGCGGCCUAUCAGCUUGUUGGGGGGUGAUGGCCUACCAAGGCGACGACGGGUAGCCGGCCUGAGAGGGCGACCGGCCACACUGGGACUGAGACACGGCCCAGACUCCUACGGGAGGCAGCAGUGGGGAAUCUUGCGCAAUGGGCGAAAGCCUGACGCAGCGACGCCGCGUGAGGGAUGACGGCCUGG
This 389-nucleotide ribosomal RNA is filed under the name uncultured bacterium. RNAcentral describes it as "bacterial SSU rRNA". It matches the Rfam family "Bacterial small subunit ribosomal RNA", at positions 28 to 419 of the family's 1533-position model. The record is from RNAcentral.